AAGCCAAAAGAUGUUAGUGUGACUCAGUAAUCCUUCCUGCUAAUAAGCACUUUGUUGGAGAAACUUUACUGCAUCCUGGAUGAGCCACAAAGGAGUGGUACAUUGUGCAACUAAAAACAAGCGACAGAAAGACACCUGCUCCAACAGAGUGGCUCAUGACAGCCUCGCCUGCUUGGCUUUCGGAUAUCAAGAGAGAACAAGAAAUUCUUCCUUUGUGGAAUCUGAAUCUAGAAAACAGCCUGCGUACUUCUUUCACUCGCUGGAGAACUAUUUAUAAGAGGU
Long non-coding RNA from Cyprinodon tularosa, 282 nucleotides. RefSeq lists it as uncharacterized. Lineage: Eukaryota; Metazoa; Chordata; Actinopteri; Cyprinodontiformes; Cyprinodontidae. The transcript has 3 exons. The record is from RefSeq and is a predicted model, not a curated record.